AGUGAACGCUGGCGGCGUGCCUAAUACAUGCAAGUCGAACGGAGAUUAAGUAGCUUGCUAUUUAAUCUUAGUGGCGCACGGGUGAGUAAUAUAUAGCUAACUUGCCCAUUACUAAGGGACAACAGUUGGAAACGACUGCUAAUACCUUAUACUCCGUAUCUAUAUAAGUAGAUACGGGAAAGUUUUUCGGUAAUGGAUAGGGCUAUAUCGUAUCAGCUAGUUGGUAAGGUAAUGGCUUACCAAGGCUAUGACGCGUAACUGGUCUGAGAGGAUGAUCAGUCACACUGGAACUGAGACACGGUCCAGACUCCUACGGGAGGCAGCAGUAGGGAAUAUUGCUCAAUGGGGGAAACACUGAAGCAGCAACGCCGCGUGGAGGAGGACACUUUUCGGAGCGUAAACUCCUUUUCUUGGGAAAGAAUUAUGACGGUACCCAAGGAAUAAGCACCGGCUAACUCCGUG
RNAcentral lists this ribosomal RNA (462 nucleotides) under uncultured bacterium. RNAcentral describes it as "partial 16S ribosomal RNA". It matches the Rfam family "Bacterial small subunit ribosomal RNA", at positions 29 to 507 of the family's 1533-position model. The record is from RNAcentral.